Long non-coding RNA from Cyprinus carpio carpio, 4219 nucleotides. The record is from Ensembl. Lineage: Eukaryota; Metazoa; Chordata; Actinopteri; Cypriniformes; Cyprinidae.
GUUAUGUUCGUUUCUAGGAUUUGAAAAAGGUUUGAAAACAUUUUAAACACUGAACGUAAUCUGCUUUUAAUGUACUGUGUUCAGUGAACAGGGAAGUUUUGUUGUAAACCAUCUUCACUCCAUGAUCUCUGAAUAAUUCGCAUCACGCUUUAUUGAGUUUUCCUCUGAUGUGAUUUGGGAAGCAUGCAGGAUACCGUGGGGUGUAAUGCAGCAUUCCUGCUCUUCUGGGGAAUCUUGAAUUCUUACUUUCCUCUAGAUUGCUGCCAAACUGCCCCUACUUUUACUGCCAGUUAUUCUCCAGACCUUUAUGUCUCUGUUUCUACAACAACUCCAGACUCAAGUUCAUCUAUCUUCACCACAACAUCAGAAUCAAAUCCCCUCACAAACACAAGUACAACCGAGUCUUACUCCACCAUUCAAGCCACUACACAACUGAAGAACACUUCUCUCAGUGACACUUCUGACUCAACAUUAAACCAACAAAGCAUUGCCACUCAAACAACGGAGCCCUUAACUAGUGCCACUGCACAUGGGAUCAGUUCAACAGGAAGCACUAAAACAACUAGCUCGGACACAUCAACAACAUCUGAGACACCUACACUGACUCCAAAUCAUGCAAACAAUGAUUCCAUUACCACCACUGAUUCCAAAACACAAUAUAAAGUAGAGCAAACCUCAGACAGCAAUACAUCCAUUUUUUGGUCUACUGGAACAUUAACUGGUACCCAAAGACCUGAGCCAACAAAUGGAACUUCAACCAAGAGUAGUGUCACAAAGACAUCAUAUUCUGAAUUGACAACAACAAUAAUUGUGCCUACAACAACUCCAGACUCUUCAUUAGCGUCCCCUGAUGUGUCUUCUAAAACAUCAUACUCCACUUUGACAACAACACAACAGCUUGAGUCAUCAGACCAUGCUCAAGUCUCCAUCACAUCAAAUGAAUCGACAACUACAAUGAUUUCCUCUACAACAACUCCAGACUCAAGUUCAUCUAUCUUCACCAAAACAUCAGAACCAAAUACCAUCACAAACACAAGUACAACUGAGUCUUACUCAACCAUUCAACCAACUACACAACUGAAGAACACUUCUCUCAGUGACACUUCUGACUCAAUAUCAGAACAACAAAGCACUGCCACUCAAACAACGGAGCCCUUAACCAAUGCCACUGCACAUGGGAUCAGUUCAACAGGAAGCACUAAAACAACUAGCUCGGACACAUCAACAACAUCUGAGAUACCUACACUGACUCCAAUUCAUGCAAACAAUGAUUCCAUUACCACCACUGAUUCCAAAAUACAAUAUAAUUUAGAGAAAACCUCAGUCAGCAAUACAUCCAUUUCUUGGUCUACUGGAACAUUAACUGAUACCCAAAGGCCUGAGCCAACAAACGAAACUUCAACCAACAGUAGUGUCAAAAAGACAGCAUUUUCUGAAUCGACAACAACAAUGCUUGUGUCUAAAACAACUGCAGGCUCUUCAUUUCCGUCUUCUCUAACAUCAUACUCCACUGUUACAACAACACAACAGCUUGAGUCCUCAGACAAUACUCAAGUCUCCAUCACAUCAAAUGAAUCGAAAACUACAAUGAUUUCCUCUACAACAACUCCAGACUCAAGUUCAUCUCUCUUCACCAAAACAUCAGAACCAAAUACCCUCACAAACACAAGUAAAACCGAGUCUUACUCAACCAUAAAAACAACUACACAACUGAAGAACACUUCUCUCAGUGACACUUCUGACUCAAGAUUAAACCAACAAAGCAUUGCCACUCAAACAACGGAGCCCUUAACCAAUGCUACUGCACAUGGGAUCAGUUCAACAGGAAGCACUAAAACAACUAGCUCGGAUACAUCAACAACAUCUGAGACACCUAAACUGACUCCAAUUCAUGUAAACAAUGAUUCCAUUACCACCACUGAUUCCAAAACAAAGUAUAAAGUAGAGCAAACCUCAGAUAGCAAUACAUCUAUUUCUUGGUCUACUGGAACAUUAACUGGCACCCAAAGGCCUGAGCCAAUAACCGACACUUUAACCAACAGUAGUGUCACAAAGACAUCAUAUACUGAAUCGACAACAACAAUAACUGUGCCUACAACAACUCCAAACUCUUCAUUAGCAUCCCCUGAUGUGUCUUCUCAAACAUCAUACUCCACUGUGACAACAACACAACAGCUUGAUUCAUCAGACCAUACACAAUUCUCCAUCACAUCAAAUGAAUCGACAACUACAAUGAUUUCCUCUACAACAACUCCAGACAUAAGUUCAUCUAUCUUCACCAAAACAUCAGAACCAAAUACCCUCACAAACACAAGUAAAACUGAGUCUUACUCAACCAUAAAAACAACUACACAACUGAAGAACACUUCUCUUAGUGACACUUCUGACUCAACCUUAAACCAACAAAGCAUUGCCACUCAAACAACGGAGCCCUUAACCAAUGCUACUGCACAUGGGAUCAGUUCAACAGGAAGCACUAAAACAACUAGCUCGGACACAUCAACAACAUCUGAGACACCUAAACUGACUCCAAAUCAUGCAAACAAUGAUUACAUUACCACCACUGAUUCCAAAACACAAUAUAAAGUAGAGCAAACCUCAAACAGCAAUACAUCCAUUUAUUGGUCUACUGGAACCCAAAGGCCUGAGCCAACAACCGAAACUUCAACCAACAGUAGUGUCACAAAGACAUCAUAUACUGAAUUGACAACAACAAUAAUUGUGCCUACAACAACUCCAAACUCUUCAUUAGCAUCCCCUGAUGUGUCUUCUCAAACAUCAUACUCCACUGUGACAACAACACAACAGCUUGAUUCAUCAGACCAUACUCAAGUCUCCAUCACAUCAAAUGAAUCGACAACUACAACGAUUUCCUCUACAACAACUCCAGACUCAAGUUCAUCUAUCUUCAUCAAAACAUCAGAACCAAAUACCCUCACAAACACAAGUACAACCGAGUCUUACUCAACCAUUCAACCAACUACACAACUGAAGAACACUUCUCUCAGUGACACUUCUGACUCAACAUUAAACCAACAAAGCAUUGCCACUAAAACAACGGAGCCCUUAACCAAUGCUACUGCACAUGGGAUCAGUUCAACAGGAAGCACUAAAACAACUAACUCGGACACAUCAACAACAUCUGAGAUACCUACACUGACUCCAAUUCAUGCAAAUAAUAAUUCCAUUACCACCACUGAUUCCAAAACACAAUAUAAUGUAGAGCAUACCUCAGACAGCAAUACAUCCAUUUCUUGGAUUACUGGAACAUUAACUGGCACCCAAAAACCUGAGCCAACAAUCAAAACUUCAGCCAACAGUAAUUUCACUAAGACAGCAUUUUCUGAAUUGACAGCAACAAUGCUUGCACCUACAACAACUACAGGCUCUUUAUUUCCGUCUUUUAUAACAUCAUACUCAACUGUGACAACAACACAACAGCUUGAGUCAUCAGACCAUACUCAAGUCUCCAUCACAUCAAAUGAAUCGACAGCUAAAAUGAUUUCCUCUACAACAACUACAGACUCAAGUUCAUCUAUCUUCACCAAAACAUCAGAACCAAAUACCCUCACAAACACAAGUACAACUGAGUCUCACUCAACUAUUCAACCAACUACACAACUGAAGAACACUUCUCUUAGUGACACUUCUGACUCAAUAUCAGAACAACAAAGCAUUGCCACUCAAACCAUGGAGCCCUUAACCAAUGCCACCGCACAUGGGAUAAGUUCAACAGGAAGCACUAAAACAACUAGCUCGGACACAUCAACAACAUCUGAGACACCUAAACUGACUCCAAUUCAUGCAAACAAUAAUUCCAUUACCACCACUGAUUCCAAAACACAAUAUAAUGUAGAGCAUACCUCAGACAGCAAUACAUCCAUUUCUUGGAUUACUGGAACAUUAACUGGUACCCAAAAACCUGAGCCAACAAUCAAAACUUCAACCAACAGUAAUUUCACUAAGACAGCAUUUUCUGAAUUGACAGCAACAAUGCUUGCACCUACAACAACUACAGGCUCUUUAUUUCCGUCUUCUAUAACAUCAUACUCCAUUGUGACAACAACACAACAGCUUGAUUCAUCAGACCAUACUCAAGUCUCCAUCACAUCAAAUGAAUCGACAGCUAAAAUGUUUUCCUCUACAACAACUCCAGACUCAAGUUCAUCUAUCUUCACCAAAACAUCAGAACCAAAUCCCCUCACAAACACAAGUUCAG